AUGGAUGUCCUGGAGUUUAACAUGCGCCCGUCCUUGGGUUGUUGCUUGCAUAUAAUUCUGUUCAUCGCUUGCUUCUCCUUUACUUAUUUAGCCAAGCUACCCUCUUCUCCAUCAUCACCCCCACGACGCCUGCCUGCCUCUUCCCUCCCUCCUCGUCCUUCACGCUACUACAAAAGACCACACACAAGCACAGCACAGCACAGCACAAGCAAGUGGUCACACUACUGGCAAGCUCCCCAACUCAGGCAAUUCUCUCGCAUAAACUACUACGUGGCUCUCUUGGCAGAGGAUCUAGAGCAGCGGUGGGUCAGCGCGCUCGCACCAGCUUCGAUGGGCCUCGACGUCACGGAAAUAUCUGAAUCGGCGGCCCUCCGGCCGAUCCAGACGGCCGUGAGCGGCGCCCGGGCAACGGCAGCGCCGGGGGCGGAUGAUGACGCUCCAGCCGCCGACAACGGCUGCGUCACACCCAAGGCGAGCGGCGCGCGGUCAGCCGCUGCAGGAGGAGGGGACGACGACGACGCUGCCGCCAGCACCGGCUGCGUCACACCCAAGGCAAGCGACUCCAUGGCCAUGCUGCCCAUUGCGCCACUGCGGGAAGACGAUGUCGGCGUCGCCACGGCCACGGGCGGAGAAAUUGGGCCGCGAGACGGCUGCGCCGCUGCAGGCGACGAGAGCAGCUUCACCACGCCGACGGCAGCCGACAGCGCGCUGGUGCAGGCCACUGUGUGCCCACCGGCGCCGCGGAAAACGGCUGCGGCGCUGACGAGGAAGCGGGCGCCGCUGCAGCAGCGGCUCUUCUAUCCGGUGCCCCGCGACCUGACCACCGUGUUCGUGGCCGUGCCGCAGUGCCCGCCGCCUGCCAAGAAGAUGCGGGCGCACGUCGUGGAGUCAUCGGUGCGCCUAGGCACGUGA
This 912-nucleotide ribosomal RNA is filed under the name Triticum aestivum (bread wheat). RNAcentral describes it as "partial small subunit ribosomal RNA". Lineage: Eukaryota; Viridiplantae; Streptophyta; Magnoliopsida; Poales; Poaceae. The record is from RNAcentral.